GACGAACGCUGGCGGCGUGCUUAACACAUGCCAGUCGAACGAGAGCGUAGAGAAAGCUUGCUUUUUCUACAAUCUAGUGGCAAACGGGUGAGUAACGCGUAAACAACCUGCCCUACGGAUGGGGACAACAGCUGGAAACGGCUGCUCAUACCGAAUACGUUCCGAAAGUCGCAUGACUAUCGGAAGAAAGGAUGGCCUCUAUUUAUAAGCUAUCGCCGGAGGAGGGGUUUGCGUCUGAUUAGCUAGUUUGAGGGGUAACGGCCAACCAAGGCGACGAUCAGUAGCCGGUCUGAGAGGAUGAACGGCCACAUUGGAACUGAGACACGGUCCAGACUCCUACGGGAGGCAGCAGUGGGGAAUCUUCCGCAAUGGGCGAAAGCCUGACGGAGCAACGCCGCGUGAGUGAAGACGGCCUUCGGGUUGUAAAGCUCUGUUAUACGGGACGAAUAAUCUUGUGGUUAAUACCCAUGAGAAGUGACGGUACCGUAAGAGAAAGCCACGGCUAACUACGUG
RNAcentral lists this ribosomal RNA (513 nucleotides) under uncultured bacterium. RNAcentral's name for it is "partial 16S ribosomal RNA". It matches the Rfam family "Bacterial small subunit ribosomal RNA", at positions 28 to 507 of the family's 1533-position model. The record is from RNAcentral.